UACAGAGGUCCCGAGCGUUGUUCGGAUUCAUUGGGCGUAAAGGGUGCGUAGGCGGUUUUUUAAGUUUGAUGUGAAAUCCCGGGGCUCAACCCUGGAAUUGCAUUGAAUACUGAAGAACUAGAGAUCUGGAGAGGAAACUGGAAUUUACGGUGUAGCAGUGAAAUGCGUAGAGAUCGUAAGGAAGACCAGUGGCGAAGGCGAGUUUCUGGACAGAUACUGACGCUGAGGCACGAAGGCCAGGGGAGCAAACGGG
This 253-nucleotide ribosomal RNA is filed under the name uncultured bacterium. RNAcentral describes it as "partial 16S ribosomal RNA". It matches the Rfam family "Bacterial small subunit ribosomal RNA", at positions 524 to 776 of the family's 1533-position model. The record is from RNAcentral.